UCCUCAAUAGCUCAGUCAGUAGAGCAUGAGACUCUUAAUCUUAAGGUCGUGGGUUCAAGCUACAUGUUGGGUGAA
Non-coding RNA from Podarcis lilfordi (Lilford's wall lizard), 75 nucleotides. NCBI's taxonomy places the organism in Eukaryota, Metazoa, Chordata, Lepidosauria, Squamata, Lacertidae. The record is from the annotation of a GenBank genome assembly.